GAUGAACGCUGGCGGCGUGCCUAAUACAUGCAAGUCGAGCGAACGGACGAGAAGCUUGCUUCUCUGAUGUUAGCGGCGGACGGGUGAGUAACACGUGGAUAACCUACCUAUAAGACCGGGAUAACUUCGGGAAACCGGAGCUAAUACCGGAUGAUACUUUGAACCGCAUGGUUCAAAAGUGAAAGACGGUCUUGCUGUCACUUAUAGAUGGAUCCGCGCUGCAUUAGCUAGUUGGUAAGGUAACGGCUUACCAAGGCAACGAUGCAUAGCCGACCUGAGAGGGUGAUCGGCCACACUGGAACUGAGACACGGUCCAGACUCCUACGGGAGGCAGCAGUAGGGAAUCUUCCGCAAUGGGCGAAAGCCUGACGGAGCAACGCCGCGUGAGUGAUGAAGGUCUUCGGAUCGUAAAACUCUGUUAUUAGGGAAGAACAUAUGUGUAAGUAACUGUGCACAUCUUGACGGUACCUAAUCAGAAAGCCACGGCUAACUACGUG
RNAcentral lists this ribosomal RNA (497 nucleotides) under uncultured bacterium. RNAcentral describes it as "partial 16S ribosomal RNA". It matches the Rfam family "Bacterial small subunit ribosomal RNA", at positions 28 to 507 of the family's 1533-position model. The record is from RNAcentral.